AGUGAACGCUGGCGGUAGGCCUAACACAUGCAAGUCGAACGGCAGCACAGUAAGAGCUUGCUCUUACGGGUGGCGAGUGGCGGACGGGUGAGGAAUACAUCGGAAUCUACUUUUUCGUGGGGGAUAACGUAGGGAAACUUACGCUAAUACCGCAUACGACCUACGGGUGAAAGCAGGGGAUCUUCGGACCUUGCGCGAUUGAAUGAGCCGAUGUCGGAUUAGCUAGUUGGCGGGGUAAAGGCCCACCAAGGCGACGAUCCGUAGCUGGUCUGAGAGGAUGAUCAGCCACACUGGAACUGAGACACGGUCCAGACUCCUACGGGAGGCAGCAGUGGGGAAUAUUGGACAAUGGGCGCAAGCCUGAUCCAGCCAUACUGCGUGGGUGAAGAAGGCCUUCGGGUUGUAAAGCCCUUUUGUUGGGAAAGAAAAGCAGCAGGUUAAUACCCCGCCGUUCUGACGGUACCCAAAGAAUAAGCACCGGCUAACUUCGUG
RNAcentral lists this ribosomal RNA (492 nucleotides) under uncultured bacterium. RNAcentral describes it as "partial 16S ribosomal RNA". It matches the Rfam family "Bacterial small subunit ribosomal RNA", at positions 29 to 507 of the family's 1533-position model. The record is from RNAcentral.